This 440-nucleotide ribosomal RNA is filed under the name uncultured bacterium. RNAcentral describes it as "partial 16S ribosomal RNA". It matches the Rfam family "Bacterial small subunit ribosomal RNA", at positions 338 to 795 of the family's 1533-position model. The record is from RNAcentral.
CCUACGGGUGGCAGCAGUGGGGAAUAUUGCACAAUGGGGUAAACCCUGAUGCAGCGACGCCGCGUGAAGGAAGAAGUAUUUCGGUAUGUAAACUCCUAUCAGCAGGGAAGAAAAUGACGCUACCUGACUAAGAAGCCCCGGCUAACUACGAGCCAGCAUCCGCGGUAAUACGUAGGGGGCAAGCGUUAUUCGGAUUUACUGGGUGUUUAGAGAGCGUUGGUGGCGAUGCAAGUUAGAAGUGAAAGCCCGGGGAUCAACUCCGGGACUGCUUUUGAAACUGUGUUGCUAGAUUGCAGGAGAGGUAAGUGGAAUUCCUAGUGUAGCGGUGAAAUGCGUAGAUAUUAGGAGGAACACCAGUGGCGAAGGCGGCUUACUGGACUGUAAAUGACGCUGAGGCUCGAAAGCGUGGGGAGCAAACAGGAUUAGAUACCCCUGUAGUC